AUGAAUGAUGUUCAUGAGAAACAUGAACCAAAAGAAAAUCCUGGAGAUAUAAAUGAAAUAAACAGUCAAGAGAAACCCAAGAAAAAGAAAAGUGAUAAUAAUUCCAGACUACUCUUUAAUAAUGGAGCAAAAACAAUUGAUCGUCUGCAAAGAGUUGUGCAAAGUAACUUGGAUGGUCAGGAAGAAAAAAAUAAAGCUCUCCGAGGAAGAAUUUAUCAUCCAUCAACACAAGAAAAUUUAGGAGAACAAGAGACAAGCGUUUCUGUAUUGCCUGCUGAAUCAUCUCAUCAGAAUGAAUCUUUAACCACAUUAUUAGUAGAACUGAAUGAAUGUAUCACCAGUGCAUCCACAGCCAAAUUCGUCACAAAAUUCACAACUACCAGUGAUAGGAGGAGCAAAGGAAUGUCUAUGACACUACCUGACUCAAAAACAAAAGAAACUACUGACCCUUGUUCAGAGGGUGAUGUUGCCAGAGUGACAAGACCAGAAGUUACAACUUGUUUUGAAAAUGACCCAAGAACGUUGGACGUCUUGAGAUUAAAAAUUGAAAGUCCAGGUUCUGAAGUUGAGGAAGUAAACUCACAGAAAAACAAAAACACCUUAACAUUAAACGGCGUCCCAUCCACUACACUACAUCCAUCAGAUCCCUGUGCUGCAACAGAGCCAAGGUCAUUUGAAACUAAAGAUGAAUCACUUGCAGAACAAUCUGUAAGACAUCUGAGUUGUACUGAUAAGAUGAAACUAGGAGAAAUGCUGAAACGGUCAGGUAAUAAAGACAAAAAUCGGAAAUGGCUGAAGCACGAUGCAGAGACAGGAAAAAAUACUUUUAAAAAACCGUACCAAAUGUAUCUCAAUAUGCUUAACUUGCUCACAAAAAAGUCUGCGAGAUCCAGUGCCAAAAAAUUGAAUGACAUACGAAUGCAGGAGCAAUCAUCUGAUCAAGUGAGCCCAAAAAUUGCCUUGCAAGAGGAAGCAACAUUAGAAAAUAAUACUGCUGAGGACUAUGCUACAGAUUCACCUAAAGUCCACAAGAGCCAGUCUAGCAGGCCAAUCAUGCUGCUUUCUGAUUUAGGAAAUUCUAAGUCCAAUAAUGAGAUUUCUCCUUCUGAUGAAAAAAUCAGUAUCGAUUUGAUGCUAACAAAGAAAGCAAAUGAAAGGUCAUUGAUUCUGCCUACUGACAGAACAAAUUUUGAGGAUCGAAUGUUAAUAUCCUCUCAGUUCAAACCUAGAAAAGCUUCCCAUCUUCAAUUCUUCAGGCAGCGUCUCUUAAAAGAGGAUGAGAGGGAAAAGUCGAAAAAGAGAAAGAGUAAAAAAUCGAAAAAUGAAAAAGAACCAUCAGUUUAUGAAGACUUGGUUGAAGAGAGAACUUUAGAAUCUAAAACAGAUGAUACAAAUACGGGUGAUCUUCGGAUGACAACCGUUGGAAAACCACGGAGUGACAUUAAAGCCCUUUUACAUGUUUUACGUAGAUCAAAAGUAAAUAAGUCUCCUAAAUACUGUCCAAAUGAUUCAAUUACAUACUUAUCAAAAUCUACCAUAAGUGAUGGUGAUGGAGAUAGCUACGAUAUGAAACAAACAUUCCAUGGAGAAAAAGAGGACAGGUUUGAAGACGUAAAGACCGAGACCGAAGGAGAAGAACUGGCUGAGCACUAUCCACUAAAGCAGCUAAAAAAGGAAGCUAUGAGUGGAAAAAAUCUUGAGGACGAAACUGAGUUUAGAACUGAGCCUAAGAAAUUCUUCAGUGAGCAAGGCUUCAACAGUGUAAAUAGAGCUCAUAUCAGACGAAGAGAAAAAAAUAUCAAAUAUGGGUUCAAUGCUGAUAGCAGCCACCCUAGACGUAACCAUCAGACCCAAUUUAGGAUCUUCAAACAGCUUGUGCCUCGUUUUGUUUUCAAAGAUCCUUGCACGAAGAGCUUGGAUGAACAAAUGAAUCAUCACAAUGGAUUUUGGCACAAAACAGUGGACCUAGGGUUGAAUGAUGAUGCAAAUUAUUCAAAGGAAUCUGUAAAAAUGCUUGGGAAAAAACAUAAGAAAGUUUUAUUAGUUCAGAAAAAGAGUCACUCCCACAAAUUUCCUGACAAGGAAGGGAGACGCACAAAAGAAAGCAUUGAUCCUGUUUCAGCUUUGGUACAGCUGAUGAGAAGAGAGCAGGAAAGUGAACACAACAUGCUGCACAACAGAAAGGUUGAGGAUGAAGUUUAG
Molecule: long non-coding RNA, 2202 nt
Filed under: Bemisia tabaci
Lineage: Eukaryota; Metazoa; Arthropoda; Insecta; Hemiptera; Aleyrodidae
Description: lncRNA ENSSSA1NGG006459
Source: RNAcentral